Molecule: transfer RNA, 72 nt
Filed under: Diaphorina citri (Asian citrus psyllid)
Lineage: Eukaryota; Metazoa; Arthropoda; Insecta; Hemiptera; Psyllidae
Rfam family: tRNA
About the family: Transfer RNA (tRNA) molecules are approximately 80 nucleotides in length. Their secondary structure includes four short double-helical elements and three loops (D, anti-codon, and T loops). Further hydrogen bonds mediate the characteristic L-shaped molecular structure. tRNAs have two regions of fundamental functional importance: the anti-codon, which is responsible for specific mRNA codon recognition, and the 3' end, to which the tRNAs corresponding amino acid is attached (by aminoacyl-tRNA synthetases). tRNAs cope with the degeneracy of the genetic code in two manners: having more than one tRNA (with a specific anti-codon) for a particular amino acid; and 'wobble' base-pairing, i.e. permitting non-standard base-pairing at the 3rd anti-codon position.
Source: Rfam by way of RNAcentral
GCCUCGGUGGUGUAGUGGUCAAGACGCUCGCCUGGUAACCAGGAGAGCGUGGGUUCGAUCCCAGCCGAGAUA